RNAcentral lists this ribosomal RNA (477 nucleotides) under Rhodoferax sp. RNAcentral's name for it is "partial 23S ribosomal RNA". It matches the Rfam family "Bacterial large subunit ribosomal RNA", at positions 2462 to 2925 of the family's 2925-position model. Lineage: Bacteria; Pseudomonadati; Pseudomonadota; Betaproteobacteria; Burkholderiales; Comamonadaceae. The record is from RNAcentral.
GGUACUCUGGGGAUAACAGGCUGAUACCGCCCAAGAGUUCAUAUCGACGGCGGUGUUUGGCACCUCGAUGUCGGCUCAUCUCAUCCUGGGGCUGUAGCCGGUCCCAAGGGUAUGGCUGUUCGCCAUUUAAAGAGGUACGUGAGCUGGGUUUAAAACGUCGUGAGACAGUUUGGUCCCUAUCUUCCGUGGGCGCUGCAGAUUUGAGGAAGCCUGCUCCUAGUACGAGAGGACCGGAGUGGACACACCUCUGGUGUAUCGGUUGUCACGCCAGUGGCAUUGCCGAGUAGCUAUGUGUGGAAGAGAUAACCGCUGAAAGCAUCUAAGCGGGAAACUCGUUUCAAGAUGAGAUCUGCCGGGGCCUUGAGCCCCCUAAAGAGUCGUUCAAGACCAGGACGUUGAUAGGCAGGGUGUGGAAGCGUAGUAAUGCGUUAAGCUAACCUGUACUAAUUGCUCGUGCGGCUUGACCCUAUAACUUUG